Molecule: non-coding RNA, 23 nt
Filed under: Arabidopsis thaliana (thale cress)
Lineage: Eukaryota; Viridiplantae; Streptophyta; Magnoliopsida; Brassicales; Brassicaceae
Source: RNAcentral
AAGGGUGUUUGCGGUUCCAAUCA